UCUAUGACCCUUGGAAUAUUCACAAGAGGUGCUGGUGACAUUCAACUCUUCUUUAAAUAGUCAAGCGAGACCGAACAGAGUCACAUAUAUACAUGUAAUAACAAAUCAUCGCAUUCCAAGAUGGCGUAGCAGUCGGAUGUGUGUUUGUCUUGUCCCGUCUUGUCCCGUGUACAUAGUCGUUUUCCUUGUUUUUACUUAUAUAUUUCGUAUAUAUUUUAAUCUCACUUUCCAUCUACGAACUGAAUAUACUUUCCUGCAACCCGCCUCACCCAAUGUGGUUGCAGCUGUAAAUGAGAACUUGUUCUCAACUGGCCUACCUGGUUAAAUUGUCACGCCUGCUCCCGCUCUUCCUCCCUCUGGUGCUCGAGGGCGCCAGACUCCCCAUUAUUACGCACUCAAGCCACCAUCAGUACGCACACCUGCCUUCCCCCUGUCACGCACAUCAGCGAUCAUUGGACUCACGUGGACUUAAUUGUGUCAUUACCUUCCCUAUAUCUGUCUGUUCCCAAGCUCUGUUCCCUGCUUCUGGAUUGAUUGUCAUAUGUCCGUGUUCUGACGCUGUUCCUGUCUUGUUCUAUGUCUGUUCCCUAUUAAAUGUUUGACUCCCCGUACCUGCUUCUCCUGUCCGGCGUCACUCCUUAUAGAAUCCCGGAGCCAUCACACGAAGCAGGUCAUCACACGAAGCUGUGGUACUGGCGUUCCGGUUGGUGGUGAUGUCGGUUCUGGGUCGCCGCUGAUGGACCCGGGGUUGCCUAGCCAGCUCGUCGGGCUUCCACGCCCUAGCUGGCUCAAGAAGUUUCCUUGCCCCGGUUGGCUCGGAAGGCGCCCAUCCCACGUCGGGCCUCAGCUGGAUCGUCAGGUCCUGUUCGCCCAGCCGGCUUGUCAGACUGUCACGUCUCCGUCGGAUCAUCGGGCUUCCACGUCGCAGUGGGAUCGACAGGCGUUCAUGCCUCAGCCGGCUCGCCAGGCUCCCACGCCCCUGCCGGUUCGUGGGGAAUUUACCCCCAGCCUCCAACUCAAGCCACCAUCAGUACGCACACCUGCCUUCCCUCACGUGGAGUCAAUUACUUGUGUCAUUACCUUCCCUAUAUCUGUCUGUUCCCAAGCUCUGUUCCCUGCUUCUGGAUUGAUUGUCAUAUGUCCGUGUUACCCGUGUUCUGACGCUGUUCCUGUCUUGUUCUAUGUCUGUUCCCUAUUAAAUGUUUGACUCCCCGUACCUGCUUCUCCUGUCCGGCAUCACUCCUUAUAUAAA
This 1252-nucleotide long non-coding RNA is filed under the name Salmo salar (Atlantic salmon). RNAcentral describes it as "lncRNA (ENSSSAG00000104190.1, ENSSSAG00000117588.1)". The record is from RNAcentral. Lineage: Eukaryota; Metazoa; Chordata; Actinopteri; Salmoniformes; Salmonidae.